UACGUAGGGUGCAAGCGUUAUCCGGAAUUACUGGGUUUAAAGGGUGCGUAGGCGGCCAUGUAAGUCAGGAGUGAAAGUUUGCGGCUCAACCGUAAAAUUGCUUUUGAUACUGCAUGGCUGGAAUCAGGAUGAGGUCAGCGGAAUGUGGCAUGUAGCGGUGAAAUGCAUAGAUAUGCCAUAGAACACCAAUUGCGAAGGCAGCUGGCUAGACCUGUAUUGACGCUGAGGCACGAAAGCGUGGGGAGCGAACAGG
RNAcentral lists this ribosomal RNA (253 nucleotides) under uncultured bacterium. RNAcentral's name for it is "partial 16S ribosomal RNA". It matches the Rfam family "Bacterial small subunit ribosomal RNA", at positions 524 to 776 of the family's 1533-position model. The record is from RNAcentral.